UUGGAGGGCAAGUCUGGUGCCAGCAGCCGCGGUAAUUCCAGCUCCAAUAGCGUAUAUUAAAGUUGUUGCAGUUAAAAAGCUCGUAGUUGAAUUUCGGGACCAGAGUGUCGGUCGUGCCUCGGUACGAACUGGUAUUAUUGGUUCCUACCUUCUGAAGAACCGCGAUGUCAUUAAUUUGGUGUCGUGGGGAAUCAGGACUGUUACUUUGAAAAAAUUAGAGUGUUUAAAGCAGGCUUACGCUUGAAUACAUUAGCAUGGAAUAAUGAAAUAGGACGUUUGAUUCUAUUUUGUUGGUUUCUAGGAUUGACGUAAUGAUUAAUAGGGAUAGUUGGGGGCAUUAGUAUUCAAUUGUCAGAGGUGAAAUUCUUGGAUUUAUUGAAGACUAACUACUGCGAAAGCAUUUGCCAAGGAUGUUUUCAUUAAUCAAGAACGAAAGUUAGGGGAUCGAAGACGAUCAGAUACCGUCGUAGUCUUAACCAUAAACUAUGCCGACUAGGGAUCGGAUGAUGUUAAUUUUUUAAUGACUCAUUCGGCGCCUUACGGGAAAC
This 548-nucleotide ribosomal RNA is filed under the name uncultured Glomeromycotina. RNAcentral's name for it is "SSU rRNA". It matches the Rfam family "Eukaryotic small subunit ribosomal RNA", at positions 548 to 1098 of the family's 1831-position model. The record is from RNAcentral. Lineage: Eukaryota; Fungi; Glomeromycota.